Molecule: long non-coding RNA, 3739 nt
Organism: Brachypodium distachyon (stiff brome)
Lineage: Eukaryota; Viridiplantae; Streptophyta; Magnoliopsida; Poales; Poaceae
Exons: 3
Source: RefSeq, a predicted model, not a curated record
GGCAUGAGUGCAUGAACUUUGUUUUCAAUCUUGCUACGUAACUUUUUAUUCCGGUGUAACCCACAGAUACAUUAAUAGUCUGAAAUAAUAUGAUAACAUUCUUUAAAAUUUAGUCCGUACCAACGCAGGGGACGCGAUCGUGUCCACAGAUCUAUCUCUCUUUGUCUUCUCCCUCCUCUCUGGUCUCUCUGUCUUCUCUCCCCACCCCGCACCCACCUCCGCCUAGUCCGCCGCCGGCGACCUCCGCCUGCCCCUCUCUCUCCCUUUCUUCUCCCGUCCCUCUCUCUCCCUAGGUUUCUUCAUCCCGCCCCCCCUCCGCUCUCUCCUAGCUCAGACUGCAGGUGCGGCGGGGCGAGGCUGCAGCGGUGGGGAGAGCAGAGGAGGCGCGCGCUCUCUCUCCCUCUCUCUGUGACCCGGCUUCGACCGGCGAGGCGUGCGGGCGGCGGCGGCGGCGAGCAGCGACGCGGGUCUGCCGCAGCGGGACCGGGCGGGUACGCGGAGGAGGCAGCGGGCGACGUCCUUAUUUUAUUUUUCCAUUAUUUCAUUGCCGCUGCAGGGAUCUGCCUACGAUAAAUACAUCGCACAAGUUCAGUUAACUUUUCUUUGCCGAAGGCCCACGUUUUUGCCUUCGGCAAAGCCUUUGCCAAGACCCUGUGAAAAAGCCUCCAGCAAAGAGGUCUUUGCCGGCCCAUGUUCAUGCGGAUGCUCUUUGCCGAAGGGUUUCGGCCUGCAGCAAAGACAAGUUUUGCGGUAGUGCCGACCGAGGACAUGCUCUAACACCCAUAUUGGAAACUAGAAGCACCUGCACUCCAGCCGCACCAUGCCCGAUCAACGACGAUAGAGCACAUCGAUGCUCGGGCUACGUACGGGCCUGCGCAGCCCACUGGCUGGUUUAUUUUACUCCUAUAUAUCAUUCACUCUCCUGCAUUCUUGCUCUCUGGACUGAACUGAAGAUGGCGGCAAUGUACGCCGGCAUGGCUUCAAUUCACAAACAGUACACCGGGCAUCGAUACCACAACCCGCCAAGGAUGUACACCGACACCGAGCAUACCAACAACAAGUAUUUAUGCUUGUCGGGACGCGCAGUCGAGUCUGUCGUCUUCCAUGAACUCCCCAUGGCGUGCGGUUGGCAGCAAUCUUCCCGUUCAGGCGCAAGAGGAUGCAAAUGCAUAGAUGCACCACAGGAGGAUGCGAUCCACACGCAUUUUCGUUGCCCGCCGGCGAGAGCACUUUGGCGUGCAAUGCGGGAGUGCUGGCAACCAAGAAACAAUUACCCUGGUAGGAUCUGCAAGCCUGGUCUAACUGCACAUCAACUAUUAUGUAUUUAUAUAUCCUUGAUACUUGCUUGGCCUCUUUCACAUGUUCAAACAUCAUCUUUCGAAAAACAUUCAGUGUUUUCGAGAUUUUGCAGGAAAAAAAAAGAGGGACAGCGAUGGACCAGUAAGUGUAUCACUCUGAAAUGUGGCCAAGAUAGUUCCGGUCGAUUUUUGUCCUAAUUAGUUGGUGGCCAUGGUGUCUUUUUUGUUCGUUUGCUCACUCCUGCUCUCUCUUUUUAGGACCCCUGGGCCGGGGUCCAAGUUAUCAGCUACGAAGGAUGAGUUUUUGCAAAUACGUGAGGGGCAUAACAGAGAAAUAACUACUACAGGUUGCUGAUUUUGGUUUAUCAAAGAUGAAACAAGCCACCUUGUUUCUGGUAGAAUGAGAGGAACUCUUCCAUGGAUGGCUCCAGAAUUGCUGAUAGUGAGCGGCACUAAAGUUUCUGAAAAGGUUGAUGUAUAUUCUUUUGGCGUUGUGAUGUGGAAAAUUCUCACUGGUGAGGAUCCAUAGAAUGCACUAUGGAGGAGUCAUAGGCUCCUACUACUACUCCUGCUCCACCCUCAGCAUUUCCCCUUACAUUUGGGACCUCUUGCAGGAAAUGUGAUUUGCUUAUUGAAUGCAUCAGAGUGUCUAAAUAAAACUCUCCGCCAAAUCUGCCAUGAGCCGUUCCUAGCAAAAGAGCUACCAAUGCUACCAGCUGAGAAUGGACAUGCAGUACCAGAUAAAAACAUAACUGGUGCAAAUCAAACUGCAAGCACUGGUAGAAAUUUCAGUUGGGUGCAUACUUUAGGAUAGCUGGUGCAGCUAGUGCUACUGCAUCAUCUGCUGCUGCUGUUCAAGCUGCUAAUGUGGUUUGUCAGACGUCCGAGAAAGUUAAGAGAAAGAGGGAGCAGUAACAAGCAGCAAGGUAGGGAAAAUGCUACUGUAUUUAGAAUAGCACAAUCCUCUACAAAAACAAUCAAAUGUGUCACACACUGUUAACCUAGGAAAAAGUGAUGUUGUAUCUGGAAAGAAGAUGAAAAGUGUGGGUAAAGAUGCUGGGGACAAUUGUUUUAGAAUGCCAGGUGGAUGCAUUCCAUUUUCUACCAGCAGUGGAUCCUCUCGGUUUCGACAUGUUAAUGGGGGCCACUGGGCCCAACAGGAAACAGAGUGCUCCCACUCUCAUAAGCAUGACCUUUUCUAAUGCUGCAAAGAGAAGAAUUAUGAUAGACAAGGCGAAAGACAAUUUGACUGAGAAGCUAAAGGAAAUUAGAAGUAAAACAGUCCAAGUUAUUGAUGGAAAAGUGAGCAGCAAGCAAGUGGUUAAUGAACAUGUUGAUGGUAAUGAAACUCUUGCAUCGGAUUAUUCUAAUGCAAAUGAAGAUUCUGAAAAUGAAGAUGAUGGCCCCAUCCUAUUAUAUUAUUCCUGAAUCCUGAUCCUCAUUUCCAUGAUUUUGAUAAGGAUUGCAGCGGGGAAUCUUUUCAGAGUGAUCAAAUUUGGGCUUUACAUGAUGACGAAGAUGGCUUGCCUCACUAUUAUACAUCUAUUCAGAAACCUCUUUCCUUGAGUCCAUUUAAUCUCAAAAGUUAGCUUUCUUACUGAAUUUGGUUCUUUAAACUGGGUUUCAUCUGGCUUCAAAAAGACAUGGUGAUUUCAGGAUUGGUAGAUGUGAAACCCGUUAUGUAUUUAACAUAUUCCCUCACCAGAUUAUAUGUGAGAAAGGUCCAAGUGGGGUGAUUUAAAAGUUACCCACAGAUAGGCGACAUCUGGGUUGUAUAUCGAAAUAAUAAGAUCCGUGUUUAUGAUCUGGCUGAGGUACUGACUGAUUAUGAUGAAGAUUACAGCAUUAACUGUCCUUCCCUUGAUAAAGAUAUGGAGAUAUCAAACAGUUUUUUAGCGUCAUCAAGGCCUGAAUGUCAUCAAGAGGAUUCCAAAAGAUUAGAUGUUGUGGUUCUCACACCAGGUUCCUUUUGUUAGGAUGUCAGGGGAAGAAGCUCCAAAUGAGGUAGACCCAGCUGCUAUUUCUGAAGAACAUCUUCAGGAGAUCACAAAACAGUGGAGGAGGGGAAGGAUAUGGUCGGGGAAGAAGCUCCCAAUGCCCCCAAAUAUAACUAUGAGGUAGACCCAGCUGCUAUAUCAAAAAAUCUUCAGGGGAACAUAGAAUAAGUGGAAGAGAAGGCAAAGGCAGUCUGAAUGCUGGUUAAGACUGUUGAUGCUGAUUCUAAGAUGCUUUUCGGACCUGCCUUUUCAAAUCAUAUAUUUGUCGACAUUUUCUAGUUUCCAUGUUCUCCUAGCUUGUAUUUGUUUUGACCAUCACCUUUGCAGACAAGGAUUCGUAUGGAUUUAAUUAUUGAAGAAGGAACUUCAAUUUUGGUUCAUCUGUAUCUUACUCCUAAAAUGACCAGUAUAUGAAUAGAGGGUCCAUGCCAGGAUUGCCAGUAA